GAAACAAUCUAUGAACAAUGACACAAAAAAUGCAAAAAGAAAAAAAAAAGGAAUUAAAAUUAAAAUGGAAAGGCAAAUCAAAAGCAAACCCAGAUAGCGUCUAUCGGAGCAAAACCCAACACCCAUGGAAGCAACAAACACCAGGACAUGCAAUGCAACACUAGACAUAAAGGAAUUUGAGAGGUAUUGUGAGCAUAUUGCAAGAACUAAUGGAACUUGAGGUGCAAAAAUACUGCUACAGUCUUGUGGAUGAGAGGCGUUUGGUUUGAGAAGAAAAAUCCAAC
Molecule: unclassified non-coding RNA, 284 nt
Filed under: Hevea brasiliensis (rubber tree)
Lineage: Eukaryota; Viridiplantae; Streptophyta; Magnoliopsida; Malpighiales; Euphorbiaceae
Source: RNAcentral